GGAGGCUCGUAUGAAAGGUUGGACGAGAAAUAUACUGUUUCAAAUAAAAAAUUUGAAUUUAACUUUUAAGUGAAAAGGCUUAAAUAAAUUAAAAAGACGAUAAGACCCUAUAAAUCUUAACGGUAGAGUCAAUGUUUUUUGAUUUGUUAGUUUAAAAAAAUACUUAGAUUAUACGUUUGGUUGGGGCGACAUAAAUAUAAAAUAAUUAACUGUUUGAAUGUAUAAACAAUGAUUGUUGAGAAGAAUGAUCCUAAUAUAUAGAUUAAAAGACCAAGUUACUUUAGGGAUAACAGCGUUAUUCUUUUUGAGAGUUCUUAUUAAAAAAAGAGUUUGCGACCCCUAUGUUGAAUUAAAAAUUCUUUAUGGUGCAGCAGCUAUAAAAGAAAGUCUCAGUUCGACUUUUAAAUUUUUACAUGAUUU
This 420-nucleotide ribosomal RNA is filed under the name Isocheles pacificus. RNAcentral's name for it is "partial large subunit ribosomal RNA". The stretch from base 286 to 420 matches the Rfam family "Bacterial large subunit ribosomal RNA", at positions 2473 to 2606 of the family's 2925-position model. The record is from RNAcentral. Lineage: Eukaryota; Metazoa; Arthropoda; Malacostraca; Decapoda; Diogenidae.